GGUAGAGCUGUUGAACGAGCACACAAAGGAGAGUUUCCGAGUGAAUGGCCAUCGAGUGAAGCCGUACUACGAGCACCAGAGCUCGCCUAUGGAGGUGGAGUCUCAAGCUCUGCACAACCCUAGCUGAAGUUCAGCUCUGAAGUCGGGCUGGAGACUUUAACUCUAGCGCUUAGUGGGAGGCAACCCACCUUUGGUUUGUUUUUAAUUUUUAUUUUUCUUUUGCUUUCUUUGUUUUCGUUGUUUGUUUUGAGUCUUUCCUCAGUUUUGGUUGCCAUGUGGAUACUUUGAUGUUGGCGUUCAUGUUUUGACUCCAGCGCUGCCAGCGCCUUAGCUCCAGCCCGCCCAUUCGGUUGAUUUAUG
This 360-nucleotide long non-coding RNA is filed under the name Salvia miltiorrhiza (redroot sage). Its description in RNAcentral is "long non-coding RNA (SMIL_LNC001750)". The record is from RNAcentral. Lineage: Eukaryota; Viridiplantae; Streptophyta; Magnoliopsida; Lamiales; Lamiaceae.